GAGGAAGUCGCGGCUGAUUAGCUAGUUGGCGGGGUAAUGGCCCACCAAGGCUUAGAUCGGUAGCCGGCCUGAGAGGGCGCACGGCCACACUGGAACUGAAACACGGUCCAGACUCCUACGGGAGGCAGCAGUGGGGAAUUUUGCGCAAUGGGGGAAACCCUGACGCAGCAACGCCGCGUGGAGGAUGAAGUCCCUUGGGAUGUAAACUCCUUUCGACCAAGACGAUAAUGACGGUACUGGUGGAAGAAGCACCGGCUAACUCUGUGCCAGCAGCCGCGGUAAUACAGAGGAUGCGAGCGUUGUUCGGAAUUAUUGGGCGUAAAGGGCGCGUAGGCGGUGCGGUAAGUCACCUGUGAAAUCUCCUGGCUCAACUGGGAGCUUGCAGGCGAAACUGCCGUGCUAGAGUGUGGGAGAGGUGCGUGGAAUUCCCGGUGUAGCGGUGAAAUGCGUAGAUAUCGGGAGG
Molecule: ribosomal RNA, 463 nt
Filed under: uncultured Acidobacteriota bacterium
Lineage: Bacteria; Pseudomonadati; Acidobacteriota
Description: bacterial SSU rRNA
Rfam family: Bacterial small subunit ribosomal RNA
Source: RNAcentral